Molecule: ribosomal RNA, 441 nt
Filed under: uncultured Arcobacter sp.
Lineage: Bacteria; Pseudomonadati; Campylobacterota; Epsilonproteobacteria; Campylobacterales; Arcobacteraceae
Description: bacterial SSU rRNA
Rfam family: Bacterial small subunit ribosomal RNA
Source: RNAcentral
CCUACGGGAGGCAGCAGUGGGGAAUAUUGCACAAUGGACGAAAGUCUGAUGCAGCAACGCCGCGUGGAGGAUGACACAUUUCGGUGCGUAAACUCCUUUUAUAUAAGAAGAUAAUGACGGUAUUAUAUGAAUAAGCACCGGCUAACUCCGUGCCAGCAGCCGCGGUAAUACGGAGGGUGCAAGCGUUACUCGGAAUCACUGGGCGUAAAGAGCGUGUAGGCGGAUUGAUAAGUUUGAAGUGAAAUCCUAUAGCUUAACUAUAGAACUGCUUUGAAAACUGUUAAUCUAGAAUGUGGGAGAGGUAGAUGGAAUUUCUGGUGUAGGGGUAAAAUCCGUAGAGAUCAGAAGGAAUACCGAUUGCGAAGGCGAUCUACUGGAACAAUAUUGACGCUGAGACGCGAAAGCGUGGGGAGCAAACAGGAUUAGAUACCCCAGUAGUCC